RNAcentral lists this ribosomal RNA (228 nucleotides) under uncultured bacterium. RNAcentral's name for it is "partial 16S ribosomal RNA". It matches the Rfam family "Bacterial small subunit ribosomal RNA", at positions 103 to 334 of the family's 1533-position model. The record is from RNAcentral.
CGGGUGAGUAAUGUCUGGGAAACUGCCUGAUGGAGGGGGAUAACUGCUGGAAACGGUAGCUAAUACCGCAUAACGUCGCAAGACCAAAGAGGGGGGCCUUCGGGCCUCUUGCCAUCGGAUGUGCCCAGAUGGGAUUAGCUAGUAGGUGGGGUAACGGCUCACCUAGGCGACGAUCCCUAGCUGGUCUGAGAGGAUGACCAGCCACACUGGAACUGAGACACGGUCCAG